Long non-coding RNA from Cervus elaphus (red deer), 570 nucleotides. RefSeq lists it as uncharacterized. The transcript is spliced from 3 exons. Lineage: Eukaryota; Metazoa; Chordata; Mammalia; Artiodactyla; Cervidae. The record is from RefSeq and is a predicted model, not a curated record.
UUUCCUUCUCCAGGGGAUCUUCCCAGACUAGGGAUUGACUCUGAAUCGUUUGCAUUGGCAGGCGAGAAGUGCUGUGGAGUCUGAAGAAGUGGUUAAUGCAGGGGAUGAGAGGGCGUGUGGAAGGGAGGACAUGUGAGCCAUCUCUGGAGGUUGCUGGGUCGUGUCCUGCUCUUUGAGACCCCAUGGACUGCAGCACGCCAGGCUUCCUGUCCCUCACCAUCUCCUGGAGGUCUGGUAGUACUAUGAAACAAACUGAUGUCUGAUAUUACUGUGCUGCGGAGGGUAAAUGUUAUCUUUACUUUUGCCAUAUUCUUUCCUGUUGUUGCCAUGCUACGGUACUGAGCAAGAGACUUCUCCUGUCACUGAGGUUGGUACAUCCCCUCCAGGCUAGCCAGUUAGAGAACUUCCUUUGUUCCCAGUGUGAACAGAUGACCCAAGAGUGUCAAGCAGAGUCUUUUGAAAGAGCAAAAGGCAUAUAGGAGAGAUAAGUUAUUUUUUUCUGAGGUUGCACAUGCAGAUCUCAAGAUUCUGAGGUCAUCUUUGCUGCACAUGGAGAGCAGCUUAUUGAGA